AACGUAGGUGGCGAGCGUUAUCCGGAUUUACUGGGCGUAAAGGGCGCGUAGGCGGGCUGUCAAGUCUGGGGUGAAAUCCCGCGGCUCAACCGUGGAACUGCCUCAGAUACUGACGGCCUCGAGGGAGGUAGGGGCGAGCGGAACUGUGAGUGGAGCGGUGAAAUGCGUUGAUAUUCACAGGAACUCCGGUGGCGAAGGCGGCUCGCUGGACCUCUUCUGACGCUGAGGCGCGAAAGCCAGGGGAGCAAACGGG
RNAcentral lists this ribosomal RNA (253 nucleotides) under uncultured bacterium. RNAcentral describes it as "partial 16S ribosomal RNA". It matches the Rfam family "Bacterial small subunit ribosomal RNA", at positions 524 to 776 of the family's 1533-position model. The record is from RNAcentral.